UCCUACGGGAGGCAGCAGUGGGGAAUAUUGCACAAUGGGCGCAAGCCUGAUGCAGCAACGCCGCGUGAGGGACGAAGGCCUUCGGGUUGUAAACCUCUUUUAGUAGGGAAGAAGCGACUGGGUUUUCCUGGGAGUGACGGUACCUGCAGAAAAAGCACCGGCUAACUACGUGCCAGCAGCCGCGGUAAUACGUAGGGUGCAAGCGUUGUCCGGAAUUAUUGGGCGUAAAGAGCUCGUAGGCGGUUUGUCGCGUCUGCUGUGAAAACCCGAGGCUCAACCUCGGGCCUGCAGUGGGUACGGGCAGACUAGAGUGCGGUAGGGGAGAUUGGAAUUCCUGGUGUAGCGGUGGAAUGCGCAGAUAUCAGGAGGAACACCAAUGGCGAAGGCAGAUCUCUGGGCCGUAACUGACGCUGAGGAGCGAAAGCAUGGGGAGCGAACAGGAUUAGAUACCCUGGUAGUCCAUGCCGUAAACGUUGGGAACUAGAUGUGGGGACCAUUCCACGGUCUCCGUGUCGCAGCUAACGCAUUAAGUUCCCCGCCUGGGGAGUACGGCCGCAAGGCUAAAACUCAAAGGAAUUGACGGGGGCCCGCACAAGCGGCGGAGCAUGCGGAUUAAUUCGAUGCAACGCGAAGAACCUUACCAAGGCUUGACAUAUACCGGAAACGGCUGGAAACAGUCGCCCCGCAAGGUCGGUAUACAGGUGGUGCAUGGUUGUCGUCAGCUCGUGUCGUGAGAUGUUGGGUUAAGUCCCGCAACGAGCGCAACCCUCGUCCUAUGUUGCCAGCACGUAAUGGUGGGAACUCAUGGGAUACUGCCGGGGUCAACUCGGAGGAAGGUGGGGAUGACGUCAAAUCAUCAUGCCCCUUAUGUCUUGGGCUUCACGCAUGCUACAAUGGCCGGUACAAAGGGCUGCGAUACCGCAAGGUGGAGCGAAUCCCAAAAAGCCGGUCUCAGUUCGGAUUGAGGUCUGCAACUCGACCUCAUGAAGUCGGAGUCGCUAGAAAUCGCAGAUCAGCAACGCUGCGGUGAAUACGUUCCCGGGCCUUGUACACACCGCC
Molecule: ribosomal RNA, 1059 nt
Filed under: uncultured Cryobacterium sp.
Lineage: Bacteria; Bacillati; Actinomycetota; Actinomycetes; Micrococcales; Microbacteriaceae
Description: bacterial SSU rRNA
Rfam family: Bacterial small subunit ribosomal RNA
Source: RNAcentral